This 253-nucleotide ribosomal RNA is filed under the name uncultured prokaryote. RNAcentral's name for it is "partial 16S ribosomal RNA". It matches the Rfam family "Bacterial small subunit ribosomal RNA", at positions 524 to 776 of the family's 1533-position model. The record is from RNAcentral.
UACGUAGGGUCCGAGCGUUGUCCGGAAUUACUGGGCGUAAAGAGCUCGUAGGUGGUUUGUCGCGUUGUUCGUGAAAACUCACAGCUUAACUGUGGGCGUGCGGGCGAUACGGGCAGACUGGAGGUAUGCAGGGGAGAACGGAAUUCCUGGUGUAGCGGUGAAAUGCGCAGAUAUCAGGAGGAACACCGGUGGCGAAGGCGGUUCUCUGGGCAUGUCCUGACGCUGAGGAGCGAAAGUGUGGGGAGCGAACAGG